Molecule: ribosomal RNA, 859 nt
Filed under: uncultured Chloroflexota bacterium
Lineage: Bacteria; Bacillati; Chloroflexota
Description: bacterial SSU rRNA
Rfam family: Bacterial small subunit ribosomal RNA
Source: RNAcentral
UGCAAUUGAUCCUGGCUCAGGAUGAACGCUGGCGGUGUGCCUAACACAUCCAGGUCGGACGAGGCCCUUUGUAUUCGUACGAAGGUGUCCUAGUGGCGAACGGGUGAGUAACACGUAGGUGACCUGCCCCAAAGUGAGGGACAACCCCUGGAAACGGGGGCUAAUACCUCAUGUGUUCCGAGGAGUUAGAGGUCCUCGGAGAAAAGGAGCAAUCCGCUUUGGGAGGGGCCUGCGGCCCAUUUGAGUUGGUAGGGUAAUGGCCUACCAAGGCAAAGACGGGUAGGGGACCUGAGAGGGUGGCCCCCCACAAUGGCACUGAAACACGGGCCAUACAUCUACGGAAAGCAGCAGUGGGGAAUAUUGCCCUAUGGACGAAAGUCUGAGGCAGCAACCGUGCGCGAUGAAGGCCUUCGGGUUGUAAAGCGCUUUUCUGGGGGAAGAGGAAGGACGGUACCCCAGGAAUAAGUCUCGGCUAACUACGUGCCAGCAGCCGCGGGAAAACGUAGGAGGCAAGCGUUAUCCGGAUUUACUGGGCGUAAAGCGUGUGCAGGCGGUUUGGUAAGUCGGACGUGAAAGUUCCCGGCUCAACUGGGAGAAGCCGUUCGAGACUGCCAGACUCGAGGGUAGGAGAGGGAGGUGGAAUUUCAGGUGUAGCGGUGAAAUGCGUAGAUAUCUGAAGGAACACCAGUGGCGUAGGCGACCCGAUCCUGGCCUAUCCCUGACGCUAAGACACGAAAGCUAGGGGAGCAAACGGGAUUAGAAACCCCGGUAGUCCUAGCUGUAAACGAUGCAGACUUGGUGUUGGUGGUUUAAUAGCCAUCAGUGCCGAAGCUAACGCGAUAAGUCUGCCGCCUGGGGA